GCAACAUGGAUUGACCUAGAGAUUAUCAUACUAAGUGAAGGGGAAUACAUGGCUUUCUCCUCACUUCUUUGCGUUUUUCCAGUGCCUUUGAAAGUACCACCAGAAUGAUGGCUGCAUUUUCAGUGGUGGAAAUUAUUGCUGUGUCUCAGGAGCAAGGAAUCACAGGAUAUCUACUUUCCAGUGGUGAUGUAUGACUCUCAUAAAUGAAAGCCACACCAUCAUAUAUAACACCCUAAUGAGUUUUUUUCACAGAGACAGAACAGAGAUUCCUAAUGUUUCUUGGAACUUCCCAAAAAACAGGGAAAGAAAAAAAAUUCAACUAAAUGCCUGUUUGUUAGCCCAGCAUUGGAAGGAAGCAGCCUUAAAGAAUAAUUGGUCGCUCCUAAGAAACCAUUAAUAUAACAAAAGCUGUCAAAAGAUACGAAGGAAGAAAGGAUGGUACUUUUUGAUUAUGAGGUAGUCGCAAAGCAUUGCCCAGGUGCCGAGAGAGGAAAACUGGACUCUAUCUCUUGAUGGAGCAAAUAUGGAAAAUUGCCCAGAUCCUCUUGGCUGCCCUGCUGCAUACUCAAGACAACCAUAAGACAUUUCGUUUUAGCUCAGUCAACAUUUUAUUCUUCAGAAAUUUGUUAAAGACUUGAAACUUUUUCCAGUCUGUUCUCUCCCACCACUACAGCGCCAAAGUAACAAAAGGAGCAAGGCUCCUCUAGCUGGAACUCAUGAAGUAAAUGAAGAACUACAAACAAUUUAUUAUGGUUAGAGGAUAUGAAUGGGGCAUGCCUCAUAAAAGUGGAAAUUUUUGUAUAGAGCCACAAAGGAUACCUAAGAUUUCUACAGAUAGAGGAAACAGAAUAAACAAAGGCACAGAUGCUUGAACUUGCCUGGCACAUUCAAGGAUGUAGGUUAUUACAGAAGAUUGAGCGGAGUCCC
Delphinapterus leucas (beluga whale) is the source of this 927-nucleotide non-coding RNA. NCBI's taxonomy places the organism in Eukaryota, Metazoa, Chordata, Mammalia, Artiodactyla, Monodontidae. The record is from RefSeq and is a predicted model, not a curated record.